AAGGAAGAACUCUUCCGAAGCGAGGACUUUCGGGUUACAGCAUGUUUGGAAUCGCAUCGGCAUCAUGGUGUUCGGCUACUGGCGGCUCUUCACCUGGAACAGAGAGAGGAGGCGCCUGCAGGUGGAGGAGCUGGAGGCCAGGAUACGCUGAUGCGCUCCUGCAGGCGG
Long non-coding RNA from Fundulus heteroclitus (mummichog), 168 nucleotides. RefSeq lists it as uncharacterized. The record is from RefSeq and is a predicted model, not a curated record. The transcript is spliced from 3 exons. Lineage: Eukaryota; Metazoa; Chordata; Actinopteri; Cyprinodontiformes; Fundulidae.